This 2596-nucleotide ribosomal RNA is filed under the name bioreactor metagenome. Its description in RNAcentral is "bacterial LSU rRNA". It matches the Rfam family "Bacterial large subunit ribosomal RNA", at positions 1 to 2268 of the family's 2925-position model. The record is from RNAcentral.
AGAAGCUACUAAGAGCUUACGGUGAAUGCCUUGGCGAUAAGUGCCGACGAAGGACGUGGGACACUGCGAUAAGCCUCGGGGAGCUGUGAACAAGCGUUGAUCCGGGGAUCUCCGAAUUGGGAAACCAGCCGUUGCGAACCAACGGCAUCACAUGCUGAAUAUAUAGGCAUGUUGAAGGGAACCUGGGGAACUGAAACAUCUAAGUACCCGGAGGAAAAGAAAGAAAAAUCGAUUUCCAAAGUAGCGGCGAGCGAAAUGGAAAGAGCCUAAACGGUCGUGCGUGCAUGACCGGGUUUGGACUGCAACAUGUGAGACGUAUGAUAGAAGAAUGGUUUUGGGAAAGCCAGCCAGAGAGGGUGAAAGCCCCGUAUUCGAAAUCAGAAGUCAGCUAGCAGUAUCCAGAGUACCACGAGACACGAGAAACCUUUUGGGAAGGAAGGGGGACCACCCCCUAAGGCUAAAUACUACUUAGUGACCGAUAGCGUAUAGUACUGUGAAGGAAAGGUGAAAAGAACCCCGGGAGGGGAGUGAAAGAGAACCUGAAACCCUAUGUUUACAAGCUGUGGAACCACCAUAUGAGUGGAACCGCGUACUUUUUGUAGAACGGUCCGGCGAGUUAUGUAUACAGGCAGGUUAAGGACUAAAGGUCUGGAGCCGAAGGGAAACCAAGUCUUAAUAGGGCGCAGGUCGGUAUAUGUAGACCCGAAACCGGGUGACCUAUCCAUGUCCAGGUUGAAGUUGCCGUAAAAGGCAAUGGAGGACCGAACACACAUCUGUUGAAAAAGGUGGUGAUGAGGUGUGGAUAGCGGAGAAAUUCCAAUCGAACCCGGAGAUAGCUGGUUCUCCCCGAAAUAGCUUUAGGGCUAGCCUCAUAAGAGAUUACCGGAGGUAAAGCACUGACUGGACGAGGGGCCGAGAGGUUACCAACUCCUAUCAAACUCUGAAUGCCGGAUAAUUGAUUUAUGGGAGUCAGACUGCGUGAGAUAAGUUUCGCAGUCAAAAGGGAAACAGCCCAGACCCACAGCUAAGGUCCCCAAAUAGGUUUAAGUGGAGAAGGAUGUGGGGUUGCGAAAACAACCAGGAUGUUGGCUUAGAAGCAGCCAUACAUUUAAAGAGUGCGUAAUAGCUCACUGGUCGAGUGACCCUGCGCCGAAAAUUCAACGGGGCUCAAAACCUAUACCGAAGCUUGGGCUUUUAGUAGUUAGAAAAUAGUUAUUAGUAGUUAGGAGAAACGUCAAAUGGAAAGUUACAAAGGCUUGAAGGUUUAUCAAAAGUCUUAUGAACUGGCCAAAGAGAUGUAUAUGAAGGUUGCUUCAAAAAUGCCGAAAGAAGAGCAGUAUGGACUUGCAAGCCAAGUAAAGCGUGCAUCAACAAGCAUACCGUUGAACAUAGCAGAAGGUUAUGGGAAAUGGUGCGGCGAAAAAGAGUUGAUAAGGUUUUUAAUGAUGGCAAGAGGUUCAUGUUGUGAAAUGGAAGUGCUGUUAAGCUUUUCAAAAGACUUUGGAUAUAUAUCCGAAGAGGAAUAUGCAAGGUAUAGCAGUCAGUACGAAGAAAUAGGCAAAAUGCUUACAGGAUUAAUGAAAAGUGUAAGUAGCAAUACUAACGACUAACCGCUAUUUUCUAACUACUAAAGGGGUAGGGGAGCGUUGUAUGCGGGGUGAAGUCAUAGCGUAAGCGGUGGUGGACUGCAUACAAGUGAGAAUGCCGGAAUGAGUAGCGAGAAUUAUGUGAGAAUCAUAAUGGCCGAAAGUCUAAGGUUUUAGGAGGAAGGUUCGUCCGCUCCUAGUAAGCCGGGAGCUAAGGUGAGGCGGAAACGCGUAACCGAUGCACAUACGGUUGAAAUUCCGUAGCCUCCAAAAGAUUUAAGCACAAGGACACUUUGAAAGCCGUAAAGCCGGGCGAUGGUUGACCCGGUCGAAAGGGACCGAAAUUUAGUAGGGAAGUUACGGUGGACGAAGGCGAGAAAAGUUGUGUGUAUAUCUGAGGAGCCCGUACCGCAAACCGACACAGGUAGAUAGGAAGAGAAUUCUAAGGCCAACGGGAGAAGGGUUGUUAAGGAACUCGGCAAGUUGACCCCGUAACUUAGGGAGAAGGGGUGCUCCGGAAACGGAGCCGCAGAGAAUAGGCCCAGGCGACUGUUUAGCAAAAACACAGCUCUAUGCUAAAUCGAAAGAUGACGUAUAUGGGGUGACGCCUGCCCGGUGCUGGAAGGUUAAGAGGAGAUGUGCAAGCAUUGAAUUGAAGCCCCAGUAAACGGCGGCCGUAACUAUAACGGUCCUAAGGUAGCGAAAUUCCUUGUCAGGUAAGUUCUGACCCGCACGAAUGGCGUAACGAUCUGGGCACUGUCUCAACAACCCGCCCGGCGAAAUUGUAGUACCGGUGAAGAUGCCGGUUACCCGCGACUAGACGGAAAGACCCCAUGGAGCUUUACUGUAGCUUAAUGUUGGAUUUCGGUAUUCCAUGUACAGGAUAGGUGGGAGACUGGGAAGCAAGGGCGUCAGCUCUUGUGGAGUCAACGGUGGGAUACCACUCUUGGAAUGCUGGAAUUCUAACCUGCGGCCGUGAAUCCGGUCGGGGGACAUUGUUAGGUGGGCAG